This 608-nucleotide ribosomal RNA is filed under the name Salmonella enterica subsp. arizonae serovar 47:z4,z23:-. RNAcentral's name for it is "bacterial LSU rRNA". It matches the Rfam family "Bacterial large subunit ribosomal RNA", at positions 1085 to 1693 of the family's 2925-position model. Lineage: Bacteria; Pseudomonadati; Pseudomonadota; Gammaproteobacteria; Enterobacterales; Enterobacteriaceae. The record is from RNAcentral.
CCAGACAGCCAGGAUGUUGGCUUAGAAGCAGCCAUCAUUUAAAGAAAGCGUAAUAGCUCACUGGUCGAGUCGGCCUGCGCGGAAGAUGUAACGGGGCUAAACCAUGCACCGAAGCUGCGGCAGCGACACUGUGUGUUGUUGGGUAGGGGAGCGUUCUGUAAGCCUGUGAAGGUGGCCUGUGAGGGUUGCUGGAGGUAUCAGAAGUGCGAAUGCUGACAUAAGUAACGAUAAAGCGGGUGAAAAGCCCGCUCGCCGGAAGACCAAGGGUUCCUGUCCAACGUUAAUCGGGGCAGGGUGAGUCGACCCCUAAGGCGAGGCCGAAAGGCGUAGUCGAUGGGAAACGGGUUAAUAUUCCCGUACUUGGUGUUACUGCGAAGGGGGGACGGAGAAGGCUAUGUUGGCCGGGCGACGGUUGUCCCGGUUUAAGCGUGUAGGUGUGUGUUCCAGGUAAAUCCGGUUCACUUUAACACUGAGGCGUGAUGACGAGGCACUACGGUGCUGAAGCAACAAAUGCCCUGCUUCCAGGAAAAGCCUCUAAGCAUCAGGUAACAUCAAAUCGUACCCCAAACCGACACAGGUGGUCAGGUAGAGAAUACCAAGGCGCUUGA